CUCACUAAUGGCCAGUAACAGUUUUCUUUGUCAUUUUCCUAGUCAUUACCUCCUCUGAAUGAACUCCCGAAUAAGCUUCUGAGACAUCGUGACUGGAAUAUCAAGCGAGACUAUUCCGAUUCAAACCGCUGUACCUAGAUAUCUGGCCUUUCCUCUCUCACACCAUUUUCAUUUAUGAAAAAUAAUACUCUUCCAUUACAGAGCCUGAUGAGCUUAGGAGAUAUUUUACUCUUAAACAGAUCAGAAGCAAUAUUUAUUUUUCACAGCUGUCUUCUGUUUUGCUGCUGACACAUAAUACACAGUAGCUCCGCUCUCCGCGGCUGUUGAUGGUAUUUAUUGGGGGUUUCUCUGCCUAGAUGGCUGUAAUUUUUUCCUUUUCUUUGGUUUGGAUGUUUAAGUCCAUUUGCCCUUUUUGCCGUCUGUGGAGAAUUGCUGAUUACACAAGGCUGCCUGAAUCUAAUUUUCCCUGCUGAGUGUUUGAAAAAGCUUUAGCUGAAAGCUGGCACGUGGGCAGCCUCCAACUUCUCAAAAGGAAACAGUCCAGAAUUCCACAGCCAAGCCUAUUUGAAUUCAGAGGGCAUACGAUUUACAGAGGCAUCUUAAUCCCUCUGUAAGCAUCAAAGAAUGCAGGGGAAAAAAAAUCAAUGUCAGAAUCAUUACCUCAACUGUCAGAUGAUGAAAGAAACCCUGUUCCAAGACAAUUU
Molecule: long non-coding RNA, 704 nt
Organism: Lacerta agilis (Sand lizard)
Lineage: Eukaryota; Metazoa; Chordata; Lepidosauria; Squamata; Lacertidae
Exons: 3
Source: RefSeq, a predicted model, not a curated record